ACUCUUCAGUUCAUUGAUAUUGUUUGUCUCAGUUUGCAAAGCUGUUUAGUUUUGUUUCAUGUUGAUUUAAUUUCUAUUGCCAUUGGCAACCUUGGCUUCUGAUUUCAGUGCUAUGCCCUGUCAUGUCACUGCUCCAACGGAGUCCCUGAUCCUUCUGACUGCACCCUGAUCUGUCAUCUCCCUGGCUCCGCAACAUACUUCCAGACUUCUGGUUCAGCAGCAUAACCUUUGUUUUCCAGCAUUCUAGCUCCAUAUUAGUGUCCAGGCUUCCUUACUGUUCAUUAGUCUUGUAUCUCCUGGCUGCACAAUGGGACUACAUCCAUCUGGCUCCAUCAAGGUCCACUCAAGUGUCACUUGCUCCGUCUUGAUCUCCACCAUUACUGGCUUUGACUUGGUCUUCUCCGUCCUUGGAUCCAAGUGGAUCUCCAACCAUCUAGUUCCAUCUAGACAUCUUCUCUGCCAUUCUUACUCAACAAAAAAAUCUUCACAGAGACUUAAUCUCUGCGAUCUUCAUCAUUCCCACCGACUCCACCUCAGUCUGCCGAUCUUCUGUCUUCACCUUGGCCCUCCAGUCCAGUGGCAUUAUACUGGUUCUCCAGCAGUUUGGCACCAUCUUGGUCUCCAGCUUUCCUGAUUUCACCUUGGUCUUCCAUCUACUCAACUCUGUCCUGGUUUGCCUCAUCCAUGGCUCCACAGUCUCUCUAUCUUUGUGGCUCCAUCAAAGCAUCCCUCCCUCCCAGUUUUGCUAAACAAGACAUCUUUACAGAUACAUGAUCUCCACCAUCUUCAACACUCCCACUGGCUCUUCCUCGGUCUGCAGAUCUUCUACAUCCACCUAGGCCCUCAAGCCCUGCUGUAUUACCCUGGUUGUCCAGUCAUCUGGUUACAUCCAUCUUGGUAUCAAGACAUCCUGACUCUGCCUUGGCCUUCUGUCUGGUCUGCACAGCCUGAGGAUCGACAAUGGGUCUCCAUUGCUCCGGUUCCAUCAAGGCAUCCCACUAUGCCAUUUCUGCCAUGACACCCUAAAUUACUUUUACAGUGGUCUCUUCUUCCACUGCACACCCGUGACCUCUUCCUUCACCACUUGUGCAGUAGUCUCUUCCUCUGCCAGCUCCACUGUAGUCUCUUACCCCCACCAUCACACUGGCUGUUUAAAAGUCAAAAGCUGCCUUUUGGAAAGGCAGGUACUUUCAUGUUCUGUUUCUGCUCAAGGAGUUUAUAUUUAUAUUUAGUUCCUGUUUUCUGAGGUGCCAAUAUACAUUUUCACUGUGUUUUGAUUUGUUUAAUUAGUUGCAUAUUAUGUUAACCUGUGUUUAUUGAAUUUAUUGUUAUUUAUAUGUAUGUAUUUGAUAUUUCCUAAAUCUUUCCAGAGCUAUUUUUUUUUGUUUUUUGUUUUUUUUUGUUUGUUUUUUGUUUGUAUUUUCUGUGCUUUGAAUAAUUUUAUUAAUUAGAUUAAUAAAAGGACUGUUAACAAGCCUCUGCUUUCCUUGCUGGCCUGGAUGUAACAAUAUCCUUGAGAAAAGCAAUUGAGAUGGUCCAGAUACACGUGUUUUGUAUCUGAAACUACAUAUCAUUACAUCAUUUCACUUUAAAACAUAAAAUGGCA
Molecule: long non-coding RNA, 1606 nt
Organism: Cyprinus carpio carpio
Lineage: Eukaryota; Metazoa; Chordata; Actinopteri; Cypriniformes; Cyprinidae
Source: Ensembl